This is a non-coding RNA of Nerophis ophidion (straightnose pipefish), 73 nucleotides long. The record is from the annotation of a RefSeq genome assembly. Lineage: Eukaryota; Metazoa; Chordata; Actinopteri; Syngnathiformes; Syngnathidae.
GCCUGGAUAGCUCAUUUGGUAGAGCAUCAGACUUUUAAUCUGAGGGUCCAGGGUUCACGUUCCCGUUCAGGCA